Molecule: long non-coding RNA, 624 nt
Filed under: Mytilus galloprovincialis (Mediterranean mussel)
Lineage: Eukaryota; Metazoa; Mollusca; Bivalvia; Mytilida; Mytilidae
Source: RNAcentral
UGUCCCCAAACAUGAAUAGCCAUUCCCUAAAAUUUAAAACAAGUUCUCCAAUAUUUUUCAUUUAAAUUAUUCUAUAACAUACAUAUUCAAAAUAAUAACAAUAUUUGAUCAAAUAUAAUACAAUCUUCUGAGUUUUCAUUGUUCAUUUUCGUCUUCCCGCAAAGUUGACUUCCGCACAGUUCUUUAUGAUCCUUUAGUUUUGUAAAUGUUCAUAUAGCACCAACAUCUCUUCUUCACAUAACGAUUGUUCAUAAAACACGAGUUCUGUUUAUUUUAACGAAUGUUUAUAGAACACAGACAUAUUUUAUCUUCUUCACUUGACAAAUGUUCAUAAAACACCAACACAUCUUCUUCUCAUUACGAAAGUUCAUAAAAUACGAGUUCUGCUUAUUUUAACAAAUGUUUAUAUAGAGCACUGACAAAUCUUCUUCACUUGACGUUCUAGACGAAUGUUCAUUAAGCAGCAACACUUCUACUUCUCGUUAUGCAUGUUCUCGCAUCAGAAAUAAGUCUGUGUAUUCUGACAAAUGUUUAUAGAGCACCAUCAAAUAUUCUCUGCGGGACGAAUGUUCAUAUAGCGCUAUUUUACAAAUAAUUUUCCUGAAAACAAAUUACAUAUUACAC